CUACGUGCCAGCAGCCGCGGUAAUACGGAAGGUCCGGGCGUUAUCCGGAUUUAUUGGGUUUAAAGGGAGCGUAGGCCGCCUCUUAAGCGUGUUGUGAAAUGCGGGUGCUCAACAUCCGACUUGCAGCGCGAACUGGGGGGCUUGAGUGCGCCGAAAGUAGGCGGAAUUCGUGGUGUAGCGGUGAAAUGCUUAGAUAUCACGAAGAACUCCGAUUGCGAAGGCAGCUUACUGUAGCGCAACUGACGCUGAUGCUCGAAAGCGUGGGUAUCGAACAGGAUUAGAUACCCUGGUAGUCCACGCGGUAAACGAUGGAUGCCCGCUGUUAGCGCCUGGCGUUAGCGGCUAAGCGAAAGCAUUAAGCAUCCCACCUGGGGAGUACGCCGGCAACGGUGAAACUCAAAGGAAUUGACGGGGGCCCGCACAAGCGGAGGAACAUGUGGUUUAAUUCGAUGAUACGCGAGGAACCUUACCCGGGCUUGAAUUGCAGAGGAAUUAUUUAGAGAUA
RNAcentral lists this ribosomal RNA (505 nucleotides) under uncultured bacterium. Its description in RNAcentral is "bacterial SSU rRNA". It matches the Rfam family "Bacterial small subunit ribosomal RNA", at positions 501 to 1008 of the family's 1533-position model. The record is from RNAcentral.